GGGGCUGCAGCCAGCCCGCGGGGCGCGAAAUGGCGGCGCUAGCUAGGCCUCGCGGACCUCGCCUGGGCGCGGAGCCGCAGCGGCGGCAGCUGUGUGAGCCCAGAUGUUUAUCACAGAAGCAAACAGAAAUGGAAAAAGGAAUGCGAACAUCAGAGAUGGAGAAGAUCUGGCGAGAAGAAAUUCCUUUUUUCCUGCACUGAAUCUUCCACUUCUCUCCAAACCUGCGCUCUGCUCUGCUCGUCUGUUCCUAGUGUGCCUUUCCAUAAGACUGGCUCCUGCCUGAGGCAGGCGAAGUCUGCUUUCAGCUGAAACUUCAAGAAGAAAAAUUGCGUCAUCUUUGAAAAUGU
RNAcentral lists this long non-coding RNA (347 nucleotides) under Apteryx rowi (Okarito brown kiwi). RNAcentral's name for it is "lncRNA (ENSARWG00000012637.1)". Lineage: Eukaryota; Metazoa; Chordata; Aves; Apterygiformes; Apterygidae. The record is from RNAcentral.